RNAcentral lists this long non-coding RNA (1053 nucleotides) under Carassius auratus (goldfish). RNAcentral's name for it is "lncRNA (ENSCARG00000066760.1)". Lineage: Eukaryota; Metazoa; Chordata; Actinopteri; Cypriniformes; Cyprinidae. The record is from RNAcentral.
AUGAACCGACCACCAAGGAACUCAGCAGACAGGAGGCAAUGCUGGAUGGCAUCAGCCAGCCAGCGAGAUUGUUUUGAGGGCUCUCGCCUUGUGGUGUUCCGGGGGACCAGGGGAGGUCGUUCCGGAGCGAGCGGGCGAGAGGAGGAGCCCCAGAGGUCCCCACCUACCCAGCUGCCGGCGAUCCCGGAGGGUCGUGUCCUGGCCGUGACAACCCUGGGGGGUCAGGCAAGCCCCUCCCAGAGUCCUGAGGUGCCCUCCUCAGCCAGCAGUCUCCCCAUGAAACGAGGGAGACGGUUUUCAUGGGAGUCAACUUCUGAGUCUUCGGCGUCCGAGACUGCCCUGCCCGAGACCAAACUCCCCCAACCCGCCUCUGACCCAGCUGUGGCCUCUGCACCGCGCCCAAGGAGGAAGAGGAGGAAGAGGGGGCCUGCCGGUCCUGUGACCCUGUCUCCUCCCGUGCCAGCAGCGGAGAGCGCUGGCGUGCCCGUGCCAGCAGCGGAGAGCGCUGGCGUGCCCGUGCCAGCAGCGGAGAGCGCUGGCGUGCCCGUGCCAGCAGCGGAGGGCGUUCCCGUGCUAGACCCAGCAGCGGUGAGCGUUCCCGUGCUAGACCCAGCAGCGGUGAGCGUGCCCGAGCCAGCAGCGGAGAGAGCUGGCGUGCCCGAGCCAGCAGCGGAGAGAGCUGGCGUGCCCGUGCCAGCAGCGGUGAGCGCUGGCGUGCCCGAGCCGGCAAAGAAGAGGGCAGUAUGCAAGUCGGCAGUCGUGAGAGCGCAGGAGAGUGCCGCGGCCGACUCUGCAGCAAAGACUUUAGUUCAGUGCAUUUCAUCUCCUAAGGAGAUGCCAAUUGUCCUAGCUGCUAAAGCAUUUUCUGAUUAUUUGUCCCGUCUUGUCCAAAUUUUAGAAGUCCCCGUCAGUCCUGUCUUGUCCCCUGACCCUGUCCCCAGAAGUCCCAAAUGUCCAGCCGUUGUCUCCCCGUGUCCUGUUGAUGUGGCCCCGUGUCCUGUUGAUGUGGUCCCCCCCGUGUCCAGUAGAUGUGGUCCCCCCCGUGUCCAGUAG